GAUGAACGCUGGCGGCGUGCCUAAUACAUGCAAGUCGAGCGAACGGACGAGAAGCUUGCUUUUCUGAUGUUAGCGGCGGACGGGUGAGUAACACGUGGAUAACCUACCUAUAAGACUGGGAUAACUUCGGGAAACCGGAGCUAAUACCGGAUAAUAUUUUGAACCGCAUGGUUCAAAAGUGAAGGACGGCCUUGCUGUCACUUAUAGAUGGAUCCGCGCUGCAUUAGCUAGUUGGUAAGGUAACGGCUUACCAAGGCAACGAUGCAUAGCCGACCUGAGAGGGUGAUCGGCCACACUGGAACUGAGACACGGUCCAGACUCCUACGGGAGGCAGCAGUAGGGAAUCUUCCGCAAUGGGCGAAAGCCUGACGGAGCAACGCCGCGUGAGUGAUGAAGGUCUUCGGAUCGUAAAACUCUGUUAUUAGGGAAGAACAUAUGUGUAAGUAACUGUGCACAUCUUGACGGUACCUAAUCAGAAAGCCACGGCUAACUACGUG
This 497-nucleotide ribosomal RNA is filed under the name uncultured bacterium. Its description in RNAcentral is "partial 16S ribosomal RNA". It matches the Rfam family "Bacterial small subunit ribosomal RNA", at positions 28 to 507 of the family's 1533-position model. The record is from RNAcentral.